RNAcentral lists this ribosomal RNA (494 nucleotides) under uncultured bacterium. RNAcentral describes it as "bacterial SSU rRNA". It matches the Rfam family "Bacterial small subunit ribosomal RNA", at positions 16 to 507 of the family's 1533-position model. The record is from RNAcentral.
AUCCUGGCUCAGGAUGAACGCUGGCGGCGUGCUUAACACAUGCAAGUCGAACGAAGCACUUUAUCACGAUUUCUUCGGAAUGACGAUUUAGUGACUGAGUGGCGGACGGGUGAGUAACGCGUGGGUAACCUGCCUCAUACAGGGGGAUAACAGUUGGAAACGACUGCUAAUACCGCAUAAGCGCACGGUAUCGCAUGAUACAGUGUGAAAAACUCCGGUGGUAUGAGAUGGACCCGCGUCUGAUUAGCUAGUUGGCGAGGUAACGGCCCACCAAGGCAACGAUCAGUAGCCGACCUGAGAGGGUGACCGGCCACAUUGGGACUGAGACACGGCCCAGACUCCUACGGGAGGCAGCAGUGGGGAAUAUUGCACAAUGGGGGAAACCCUGAUGCAGCGACGCCGCGUGAGCGAAGAAGUAUUUCGGUAUGUAAAGCUCUAUCAGCAGGGAAGAAGAAAUGACGGUACCUGACUAAGAAGCCCCGGCUAACUACGUG